GAUGAACGCUGGCGGCGUGCCUAAUACAUGCAAGUCGAGCGAACAGACGAGGAGCUUGCUCCUCUGACGUUAGCGGCGGACGGGUGAGUAACACGUGUAUAACCUACCUAUAAGACUGGGAUAACUUCGGGAAACCGGAGCUAAUACCGGAGAAUAUAUUGAACCGCAUGGUUCAAUAGUGAAAGACGGUUUUGCUGUCACUUAUAGAUGGAUCCCCGCCGCAUUAGCUAGUUGGUAAGGUAACGGCUUACCAAGGCAACGAGGCGUAGACGACCUGAGAGGGUGAUCGGCGACCCUGGAACUGGGACGCGGUCCAGGCUCCUGCGGGAGGCAGCAGUAGGGAACCUUCCGCAAUGGGCGAAAGCAUGACGGAGCAACGCCGCGUGAGUGAUGAAGGUCUUCGGAUCGUAAAGCUCUGUUAUGAGGGAAGAACAAAUGUGUAAGUAACUAUGCACGUCUUGACGGUACCUAGUCAGAAAGCCCCGGCUAACUACGUG
This 497-nucleotide ribosomal RNA is filed under the name uncultured bacterium. RNAcentral describes it as "partial 16S ribosomal RNA". It matches the Rfam family "Bacterial small subunit ribosomal RNA", at positions 28 to 507 of the family's 1533-position model. The record is from RNAcentral.